RNAcentral lists this unclassified non-coding RNA (259 nucleotides) under plant metagenome. RNAcentral describes it as "partial contains small subunit ribosomal RNA, internal transcribed spacer 1, and 5.8S ribosomal RNA". The record is from RNAcentral.
UUUCCGUAGGUGAACCUGCGGAAGGAUCAUUAACAGUUCUGGCUGUGAAAAGCUUUGCCCGCUGCCUCUCCGGCUCGGGCUCAGUCCAAACCUCUUGUGAAACUCAAAAAAACGUUCGCUUCGGCAGCCGGCGCCCUCCGCGGGUGCCCGUAAGCCUGCCGGCAGCACAAUUUAUCAAACCUGUCAUUUUAUAAUUUGUCUGAACCAUUCUAAUUCUGAAUGAAAAUUAAAACUUUCAACAACGGAUCUCUUGGUUCUC